This 283-nucleotide ribosomal RNA is filed under the name uncultured bacterium. RNAcentral describes it as "partial 16S ribosomal RNA". It matches the Rfam family "Bacterial small subunit ribosomal RNA", at positions 28 to 309 of the family's 1533-position model. The record is from RNAcentral.
GAUGAACGCUAGCGGCAGGCCUAAUACAUGCAAGUCGGACGGGAUUGGAGAGCUUGCUUUCCAUGAGAGUGGCGCACGGGUGCGUAACACGUAUGUAACCUACCUUGUUCAGGGGGAUAGCCUCUCGAAAGAGAGAUUAAGACCGCAUAACAUUGCAAUGUGGCAUCACAAAGCAAUCAAAUAUUUAUAGGAACAAGAUGGGCAUGCGGAACAUUAGCUAGUUGGUAAGGUAACGGCUUACCAAGGCUACGAUGUUUAGGGGAUCUGAGAGGAUCGAACCCCC